RNAcentral lists this long non-coding RNA (634 nucleotides) under Equus asinus (donkey). RNAcentral's name for it is "lncRNA (ENSEASG00005027518.1)". Lineage: Eukaryota; Metazoa; Chordata; Mammalia; Perissodactyla; Equidae. The record is from RNAcentral.
UACCUUCCGCAGGGGGCUGUGUGGGGAUUGCGUGAGAUAACAGACGUCAUCUCUUCCCGUGGUGCCUGGAGCAGUAGGAGCUACGGAGCUGACUCAGACUCUCGGAGCCGCUGUCCUCAUUUGUGAGAUGAGGUUAAUGUUGGCUGCUUGAAGGUCAGGAGAAGGACUGAGGCCCAGCACGCCCCUGGCACCUGCUCAGGUGAAGCAGACCCCCUUUCCUUCCCUCUGUGCUGCAAUGGCAAGAUGAUGAAUGAAGUUCUGGCAGCUUCCUGUGUCCCAGGCCUUGUAGAAAUAAAUGAGACCUGCUUCAAAGUUCUAAUGUGCAUCACAUCGGAUCUUGUUUAAGGAAGCAUUAAAAGGAACCCACCGAUACCUAUUGAGAAGGCUCUGUGCUCUCAGAAAUUGUUUCUGAUUGAAUCCAGAGGUUGCAAGCAUGCCUCCCUGUAUUACCUGUUGGAGCAGGUUUAAUUUUAUAAAUUUGAAACACAAACUCUAUGAGUUUCUAGUUCAUAAUUGUUCUUUUUGAGGAUCCACUCAGAUGAACAGUAUUGCAUCUGUGAUAGAUAUGCACUUCCACAGGACCAGAAUUGAUUGGAAUAUAAAUGGCAACAAGCUCCAUCUGUAGCAUCAUCCG